UCGUGACGACUGCAGCUAUUACAAACUUGAGCUCACAGAAAGUGAAUUUCAUUUCUGUGCCGCUCACUGAUCUGUUCACUCUGUUCUUUACUAAGUUAUAUUUGAACUCCUCCACCGAGUUCAAACUACUUUGAACAUAACCAGCUGUUGCAGCAGCCUGCUGCACACCAUCAGUCCACAUAUCAGCAAUGAAUCAAGAUUUUGGAAUGAAACACAACCUGUGUUACAGGUGAAGCGAAAGCAUUUAGCAGAGGAGGUCUGACAGAGCUCCACCCCUCACCUGACUCACCUGAGACAAACCAGGAGACAGUCAGUUCCUGUUCAGUUCUCAGUGAGAAGGGAGACAGCGACAGACAGGCGACCAGAUUCACCUUCAGACCAAAAUGAAGCAGUGGUCUGACAGAGCUCCACCCCUCACCUGACUCACCUGAGACAAACCAGGAGACAGUCAGUUCCUGUUCAGUUCUCAGUGAGAAGAGAGCGCAGCGACAGACAGGCGCUUCACUCGGAGACAAAAUGGCUUCCAGAUCAGAGGAGGAUUUCUGCUGUGCGGUCUGUCAUGAGGUCUUUAGAGAUCCUGUUCUUCUGUCAUGUAGCCACAGCUUCUGUGAAGACUGUCUGAAGAGCUGGUGGAGAGAGAAACCAGCACAUGAGUGUCCAGUUUGUAAGAGAAGGUCUUCAAGGACAGAACCACCUUUAAACCUGGCGUUAAAGAACCUCUGUGAGGCCUUCUUACAGGACAGAGAUCAGAGAGCUU
Molecule: long non-coding RNA, 757 nt
Organism: Siniperca chuatsi (mandarin fish)
Lineage: Eukaryota; Metazoa; Chordata; Actinopteri; Centrarchiformes; Sinipercidae
Exons: 3
Source: RefSeq, a predicted model, not a curated record